This is a non-coding RNA of Cyanistes caeruleus (blue tit), 654 nucleotides long. Lineage: Eukaryota; Metazoa; Chordata; Aves; Passeriformes; Paridae. The record is from RefSeq and is a predicted model, not a curated record.
CUACGUGUGCCCUAGUGCACUGAACUGAGUAAAGGAUAAGAGUGCAGGAAGAGUGCACACAACCAGAGCAGUGGGACACAGUGAGGUUUUGUGACCUCCAGUGAAACAGCUCCCAGACCCUCUCCAUCAUUUUUUGAGAUUUUUCACUGGUAUUGUGAUGCCUGCACCAGAGCAGGGGAAAGGGGUUUUUUGAGCACAAAAGAAGCACAGUUGUAAGUAUGUAUAGCUAUAGGAGAUUUUUUCCCCUUUACUCUUCACACACACCACUUAUCCAUACAGGCACCUGUAACUAUUAGAAGAUACAUAACAGCGCUUCAUCUCUUUGUGCCAGGUGAAGAUACCAAUCAUUCCCAACAUACAACUUCAAAAACUAAGAGUUCUAAUUCCUUCACCAGAUAGCACAAGCUUUAGAUGUGUCAGCAGCACUCAGCAAACUGACCACGAUAUUAACAGUAUAAAGAAGACCAGAUGAAAAAUGAAAUGGAACUGAUGAUUCAUAGGUGGCUGUUCCAUGCUCUACAGACUGAAGAAGAUGAAAAUAAAGUAUCUCCAGCUUCAUAAUUUAUGCCAUUUCUAUUUUUAAUAUACAAAAAAUAUUAUUUUGUAGUAAACAAUCUUUCUGUUUCUCUGAAUAAAGCAUAAAGACUGUUUAUA